CACACUGGCAUCCAGACUCAGCUCUGAGAAUCUCGCCUCCAACUUCCCAGGCAGAAAUACACAUUUCCUCUGUGUUGCCACCGAUCUGGUCGAUACAUCACAUUUCGUCCUCGCAGCCCUAGCUGACGCCCAGAAGCCAGGGGAAGGAAGAGGUUGGGACAGACUCUCCCUGACAGCCUCAGAAGGAAUCAACCCUGCCGACACCUUGAUCUUAGAUUCCUAGCUUCUAGAACCAUGAGACAGUACAUUUCUGUUGUUUCACCUCCCCCAGGCUGUGGUACUUGGUUAAGACAGUGCUGGAAAACUAAUGUGUACCUAUUCAUACUGCCUCCUGAUUAUUGGAAAGCGCGUUUUAGUUAUCGGAUUUUCUGUGUUUGUUUGUUUUUUUUUCCUUUUUUUAAUGUUUAGUUUCGAGAGAGAGACAGAGACAGAGCACGAGCAGGGAAGGGGCAGAGAGAGCGAGAGGGAGACACAGAAUCCGAAACAGGCUCCAGGCUCCAAGCUCUGAGCUGUCAGCGCAGAGCCCAGGCGCCCCAAUCAGGUCGUUUUCCUAAUGCCUUUUUCCAUCCUUGGUCUGGCUGGGGUCUCCGGUGUGGCGGGACAGGUUCUGACCCUUCUUUUCACAGUCUAUGUGGGCAGAGGUUGGCCUUGCUGUGGCCUGACCGCUGCAAGGUAGAUAACUCCACGGCCUUACUUGUAGCUAGAAAGAUCUAGAGUAGUCUGGGCACCGUCAGAACAGCUGGGUCUUACUCGAAGCCUCGUGUCCCCGCGUGGCCGGCCAGACGCGCAGGGAGAGAUCCGGUUUUUAGACUCAAACCCACUGCUUGGCAUGAAGGACCAUGACCAAUGGCACCACAAACCCCAUCAGGGACAUGAAUUCUUGGUGCCAGUGCUUGGGAAUGGGGACG
This is a long non-coding RNA of Leopardus geoffroyi (Geoffroy's cat), 908 nucleotides long. RefSeq lists it as uncharacterized. The transcript has 4 exons. The record is from RefSeq and is a predicted model, not a curated record. NCBI's taxonomy places the organism in Eukaryota, Metazoa, Chordata, Mammalia, Carnivora, Felidae.